AGUGAACGCUGGCGGUAGGCCUAACACGUGCAAGUCGAACGGCAGCACAGGAGAGCUUGCUCUCUGGGUGGCGAGUGGCGGACGGGUGAGGAAUACAUCGGAAUCUACUUUUUCGUGAGGGAUAACGUAGGGAAACUUACGCUAAUACCGCAUACGACCUACGGGUGAAAGCAGGGGACCUUCGGGCCUUGCGCGAUUGAAUGAGCCGAUGUCGGAUUAGCUAGUUGGCGGGGUAAAGGCCCACCAAGGCGACGAUCCGUAGCAGGUCAGAGAGGAUGAUCAGCCACACUGGAACUGAGACACGGUCCAGACUCCUACGGGAGGCAGCAGUGGGGAAUAUUGGACAAUGGGCGCAAGCCUGAUCCAGCCAUACCGCGUGGGUGAAGAAGGCCCUCGGGUUGUAAAGCCCUUUUGUUGGGAAAGAAAUCCAGCUGGCUAAUACCCGGUUGGGAUGACGGUACCCAAAGAAUAAGCACCGGCUAACUUCGUGCCAGCCGCCGCCGUAA
Molecule: ribosomal RNA, 506 nt
Filed under: uncultured bacterium
Lineage: Bacteria
Description: partial 16S ribosomal RNA
Rfam family: Bacterial small subunit ribosomal RNA
Source: RNAcentral